Molecule: ribosomal RNA, 428 nt
Filed under: uncultured bacterium
Lineage: Bacteria
Description: bacterial SSU rRNA
Rfam family: Bacterial small subunit ribosomal RNA
Source: RNAcentral
UGGGGAAUAUUGGACAAUGGGGGCAACCCUGAUCCAGCAAUGCCGCGUGUGUGAAGAAGGCCUUAGGGUUGUAAAGCACUUUAGGUUGGGAAGAAGUUGUUUAGUUUAAGAGACGAAACAAUUGACGGUACCGACAGAAUAAGCACCGGCUAACUCUGUGCCAGCAGCCGCGGUAAUACAGAGGGUGCGAGCGUUAAUCGGAGUUACUGGGCGUAAAGGGCGCGUAGGCGGUUAUUUAAGUUAGAUGUGAAAUCCCUGGGCUUAACCUAGGAACUGCAUCUAAUACUGGGUGACUGGAGUAUUGUAGAGGGUAGUGGAAUUUCCGGUGUAGCGGUGAAAUGCGUAGAGAUCGGAAGGAACACCAGUGGCGAAGGCGGCUACCUGGACAAAUACUGACGCUGAGGCGCGAAAGCGUGGGGAGCAAACAG